GUCUGCGAAGAAUUAGCUCCUCACGCAGGGGCAGAGAAGAGAACAGCUCCUCAUUUUACACAGAGAAACUCCAAUGUACUCCUUUAAAUUGCGCUGCUUUUCACAACGUCUCUUUGUAGAAGAAUUAGAGUAUGUGAAAACUGAAGUUUCUACUCAAACAAAAAAUGAUAACUAAUACAAUCAUGUCAAACCUGUUACUUUUUAUUUUUUCAUUACACAUUUAACAGAUAAAUCAUUUGUAUGUUUUUCCGUUGAAAAGAGUUUAGAGUGCUGCUGAGUUUAUAUUUCUGCUCUUGAGAUGAUGGCGGGAAAUUUUCCAAACAUUUAGCCUUCUAAAGGUGAAAUAACUUAAUGGAAUUUAUGUAGUUUCCUUAAAACAAACCAUUCCUUACAAUUUCCAUAUCAAAGCACUACUGAUCCCGGUAUAAAUGUUCACGGGACCUGCAAACAUGUUUGCUGUAAUAACUUAAAUUUGAGUUUCCUUGAUGAAGAAAUGUCAAAAAGCAUUAAAAGAUCCCAGAGAGAUCAUAUGCUUCUCAUCCCUGUUUUUGAUCUAAAAUAUUCAUUAAUCA
This is a long non-coding RNA of Nothoprocta perdicaria, 572 nucleotides long. RefSeq lists it as uncharacterized. Lineage: Eukaryota; Metazoa; Chordata; Aves; Tinamiformes; Tinamidae. The record is from RefSeq and is a predicted model, not a curated record. The transcript is spliced from 2 exons.